RNAcentral lists this unclassified non-coding RNA (223 nucleotides) under Hevea brasiliensis (rubber tree). Lineage: Eukaryota; Viridiplantae; Streptophyta; Magnoliopsida; Malpighiales; Euphorbiaceae. The record is from RNAcentral.
CCCCUGAGAGCAUGGAAAAACAGCCAUAAAGCAAGAAAACCACCGCAUCCUCACCACCACCAAUCUGCAGAGAUUGGAAUCCCCUGGCCCUAACCCCCUAAAUCAAGAAAUUACAAGCUUAAAAGAAACAAGAGAAUCCUCACAUUUUCACUCAAGAGUGUCCCAGAUGAAGCAAAUGUCCCAUCUUGACCACACUCCAUCAACGCCAGGCAAAUUCAAGAUC